This 2343-nucleotide long non-coding RNA is filed under the name Homo sapiens (human). RNAcentral describes it as "HSALNT0362074". The record is from RNAcentral. Lineage: Eukaryota; Metazoa; Chordata; Mammalia; Primates; Hominidae.
UAUUUCUGGAUUCAUCGAUUCAUUGUCAUGAUUAUGUUCUCAAACAAUAAACUAAAAAAGUUUAUUAUUAAGUUGGGACUCUCAAAAAUAUUUUUACAUCAAAAUUGGGCCUCUGUUUCUUCAAAGUUGGAAACUAUGCAAACUGUUGGAAAAAACUGGAAUUGACUGGCUGUGUUUGGUUUGGACAACUCAUCGAAAUGAGAGGGAGCCCAGCACGAGUUCUGCUUGAGUGAUGUCUGAAAAUCUGGCCUCUCAGUCUACCUUAAAAGCCUACCUAUUUGGCUUUCACUAGAGUUCAGAUACAUAAAACAAAUAUCUUUGCUUUGGCUUCCCUUGAGUCAUAUCAAUCUACACCUCAUCAAGAAUAUGAAGUUUGGAAGAACAAAGAAGCAAUUGAGCAUCCUAAACUCAACGUAGGGCAAGUAACAUGGACAUUGAUACACCAAGUUCCUUCUUGUUUUUCCUUGAAAGUUGGCUUGAUGAAUGUAUUCUGCAGGGAUUUUAAAGGUGUGGAAAUGAAGCAGACAUCAAGGACUGCUGCAGUUUACUGGGGGUCCACUCCAGACCUUAGUUGCUUCAGUUUUUCCCUGUACCUGGAGGUAUCGUCAGUGAAGCCUGCAAAACAGCAAAGAUGGCAGCCUGCUCCUUCCUCUGGAAGCUCCAUCCCAGGGAUGCACUGACCUGUUGCCAGAAGGAACAUGCCUGUAGGAGGUGGCUGGAGACCCCUGCUGGGAGGUCCCACCCACUCGGGAGGAAUGGGAUCAGGGACCCACCCCAAGAAGCCCUCUGGCUGCCCUUUGGUAGAGUAGGUGCCAGGAGACCCUUCCUUGCCUGGACCAUUUGUAUUUUCCAAAGUUGGCAGGCUGGAAUGGCUGAGUUUACCAAACUGCAGAGAUGACAGCUGCUCUUCCCCUGUGAGCUUCAUUCCAGGGAGAGAUCAGAACUUUGUCUGUAGAACCCUUGCUUGUGUGGCUGAAGCCCCUGCAGGGAGGACUUGCCCAGUGAAGAGGAAUAGAUUGAGGUACCGCUUAAAGAAGCAGUCUGGCCAUGAUCUGGCAAGGCAGCUGUGCUGUGCUGCAGGGAACCUCUCCUUGCUCGAACUUCUUGUAUUCUUCAAAGCUAGCAGGCUGAAACCAAUAAAUUUAAAUUUAAAUAGGUAAAAAUAAGUAAAUAAAGAUAAAGAAAAAUAAAUUGACUGAUUUAUUCUGCCUUCAGGAGCUCUUAGAUGAUGUAGGAAAACAAAUAAUACUGUACAAUCAAAGUCGAAAUUCCUUAAGCAGAGGGUCUUAUGAGAACACAAAGGGAAGGCAACUGGAGCUUUACAGAUGACUUCCUAGACUAGAGAUACCUGAUGUGGGUCUUUAGGGUUAAGUCAUUAAUAGCAAGGCCAAGUAGAGGAAGAGCAUAUCCUACAGAGAAAAAAAGAAUAAGCAAAGGCUGGCUGUUGAGAGAAUUGCAAGUGCUUAGUAUGACUAUAGCGGUAGUCUCAACAGGAGCAGGACAUCCUUAGGGGAUGUUUUGAAAAAUUUUUGUGGAAUUUUCUUGGUCCCAGUAAUUAGUAAGCACUAUUAGCCUUAAAAUGAUAAAGGGCCACUGAGCUAGAUGUUCUGCAAUGGGCAAGACAAUUGCACACAAUGAAAAAUUGUCCCAAGUUCAAGUUUGGACAAGUUAGGGAUGUCCCUCCAGGCAUUUUUGUCAAUGAAAAACCUCUUUGUAACUGUCUUGGCAUAGAGCCUAACUCCAUAUAUACAUAUAACACAAAAUAUUUUUGCACAGUUUUAAUAUACACUAAAUUUUCCAGGGACACAAUUACAUAAAUUAAGGAAAGAUCAUGCUUUGCUGUGUUUGGAACUUAUCAAGAGUCAUUCACCAUUCUAGAAAAUAGCAUCAAAGAUGCAAUAUAGCUCUUGGUGUCUGAGUUGCCAGUUCAGCCAUCUGUGUCAAUCUGUAUUUGUAGAUAUUGCAGUCAAGGUGAUAUUAUUUUUAAGCAAAAGUGUCUGACAACUUUAUUAAGUUCCCCAAUGUAGCUGUGCCAUAGCAUUUUAGAUUAUUUUAAAUUGUAUAUUACUUUCCUUUUAUUUUUCCUCUAAUGAUAGAUACUUAGGGCAUUUUUUUUAAAAACCCAAUGAGAAGACAGGUUAUUUUAUCUAUGAGUUUCAUUUCAGGAUAGUAAAAGUGUAUUACAAAAUGCUGGUUGUAACAACGGGGACAUUAGGUUGCAAAGGACAGAAUGGGCUGGUAUGUCAGUAGCAUCUCUUUCCCCAAAGACCUCAGUUGUGACAUGUGAAACUCUAAUUGCUAUGUGAUGUUUCCAGUUGUAAGGGCCUGAUUAUGGUUUAAUGC